This 505-nucleotide long non-coding RNA is filed under the name Homo sapiens (human). RNAcentral describes it as "non-protein coding lnc-HMGB2-10:1". Lineage: Eukaryota; Metazoa; Chordata; Mammalia; Primates; Hominidae. The record is from RNAcentral.
GCACAACCUCUCUCAAUAACUCACAGAAGCUCCAAACGAGUCCUUUCCCUUCAUUCUGAGCCUAUUGUCUACCACCAAGCUCAGAGCUUAUUAGGUAGCUUUAAGAUUCAGUGAAGUCUCUUAUUUCUAUAAAUUUGAAGGAUAACUGUUUCAAAGCAUAAAAUACAAGAAAAGUAUACAUUGAAGGACUAGUUAUUGGGAUUUAACAUUCUCAUCAGAGCCCACACUCAUCCUCCAGGUAGACUAAUGGGGCAAUAUAUAGAGAUACUGCAUGUUCACCAAACUCCCAUCUUUUUUUUUUUCUGGACACACAGCUUUAGUACAUUUCCCAAAUGCCCUUGGUGGGGUCCCGUCACUGAGUUCUAACUAAUGGAAAUGAUGUGCAACACUUGCAGGCCUGGUCCCUAAAAUUCAUCUUGCAUAGUCCACAAAGUUCUGUCAUUUUUUUUUUUUUUUUUUUUGAGAUGGAGUCUCACUCUGUCACCGAGGCUGCCGGGCAGUGGCA